GCCCAUUCUGCAGAACACAUACUUCUGCUCUUCUAAUUAAAUUUCUAUGAACACUUUCUAACGUAUUCGAUUGUUUUAAAGUAUGAAAGGUUACAAUAAAGUGCACGCGUACCGAGCGAAAAUUCAAAGUCGAUUUUCUCGAAAACAAAGCCUCAAAAGAAAAAUUUGUAUUCUAUAUUUUCGACUUCUUUUUUCGCGUAGAAUCACCCCCUUUCCGCUUGUACCACCAGUUAUCAACCACCCGGUAUAAA
This 251-nucleotide unclassified non-coding RNA is filed under the name Bombus terrestris (buff-tailed bumblebee). RNAcentral describes it as "misc RNA ENSBTSG00005019848.1". The record is from RNAcentral. Lineage: Eukaryota; Metazoa; Arthropoda; Insecta; Hymenoptera; Apidae.